Molecule: unclassified non-coding RNA, 392 nt
Filed under: uncultured fungus
Lineage: Eukaryota; Fungi
Description: sequence contains ITS1
Rfam family: 5.8S ribosomal RNA (bases 1-105)
Source: RNAcentral
GAAAUGCGAAACGUAAUGUGAAUUGCAGCUCUUCGUGAAUCAUCAAAUUUUCGAACGCAUAUUGCGCUCUUGGGUAUCCCCAGGAGCAUGCUUGUUUGAGUGUCGGUAUCAACCCUCAACUACAAAAAGGAAUUUUUUGUGGUUGGAUUUGGAUGUUUUUCUCUUUUUUAUCGAAGAGUCAUCCUAAAUACAAUUAACCAGAAAGCACAGAAAUGGCCUUUUUUGGACUGGUGAUAAUGAUGUUUGCGCAUCUUUGUUUUUCUCGGUCUGCUCUUAGGUGAAUUUUGUGUAUUUUUCUGAUGAUUGGGCAACCAAUAAAACAAAAAAAUUUCUAUUUUGAAAUUUUUUGAACCAUUGACCUCAAAUCAAGCAAGACUACCCGCUGAACUUAA